AUAGAACUUUUUCAGGAGCAAAGGGCAAGAAAAUGUUUUUAAAAAGGGGAAUAAUCCUAGCAAAAUAGUUUUAUAGAUUUUUUUUUGGAAAGCCAUGCCAUUUUCUCCCCUCCUUAUUACUAGUUGGUAAUGUGCAAAACAAUGCUAUCUCAAAAAUAAGAAAAUAGUGAAAGAGAACAUAUGCCCCUGUUGUGGGUUAAAUAGGGACUCCCAGAGGAUAUGUCCUUUCAGGACCUCAGAUGUAAUUAAAGUAGGGAUCUUGAGGUGAGAUCAUCCUGGAGGAGGGUGGGCCCUAAAUCCAAAGAUUAACGUGUUUAUGAAAGACUGAGACAAAGAGAAGAAGGCCCUGUAAAGCUGAGCACAGAUUGGAGUUUUGUAGCUGUGAGCCAAGGAAAGCCAGGAGAAGCAAGGAAGGAUGAGUCUCUAGAGCCUGCAGAGGGAGCACAGCCCUGCCAACACCUGGAUUUCUGAAGUCUGCCCUACAAACUGUGAUGAGAGAUCUUUUUAAAGGCAAAGACAGCAAUUUCCUGGGGAUCUAUGAGUACACUGUUCAACUACAGUACAGAUAAGAACUGAUCCCAAGCAGUCGAGAAGCUUUCAUCUGCCUUUUGUUUCCACGGUGGCAAUGAAGAACAAAGAAAGCCGGGAACUAUGCCUAACUAUGAGUAACCACAGAUGAUCUUCAGUAACUGUUCUCAUCUUUCCAUUGUGGAGGAGAUGUCUCAUACUGAAGCAUGCUUUGCCUACAAAAAUAAAUACAUAUUUGACACUUGGAAAACCAUAUUUCUUUAGAAAUAUGUCAGUGACCAGUACAUCCUGAAGCUAGCAUGGUGGGGAAUAUCCCAUGGAUAAUUUAUUGAGUCACUAAAUAAAUACUUCUUUAGCGCAUAUCAAGUGACAGAUAUUGUGCUAAAUGUUAAUCAUACAAUGAUGAAACAAAGAUACAAGGUCUCUGCCAUCACAAACUCCGUCCAGAGGGAAGAGACAGUAAAAUGAUAAUUACUGCCCAUUGCGAUGAGUGCUACAGUUGUACAGAGCCCGGUGGAGAGAGGAAGCGAGCCCAGCCUGGAAGCAUUCUAUAGAAAACUCCCCAAAAGAUGCCCAUUUAAGCAAAAAGUUGAAAAUUGAGUAGAAAUCUACAAAGUGAAGAGUGUGCGUCUGUGUGUUUGUGUGUGUGCAAAAAAAAAAAAAGGAGUAAGGUCAGUGUUCCAGGAAAAAAAAACUAUGCAAAGGCUCAUAAGAAAUGAAAAUAAUUUUAGUAAGGAUGCAGUUUAAACCAAGGUUGAUAAUUUUUAAGAGGUGAAGCUGGAGAGGAAAAUAGAAACCAGAAACCAGAUCCCAAAAACAUUUCCAGCAAUAUUAAGUUUAAACUUUCUCCUGAGGACAAUACUGAGAUUAUGAAGGUUUUUAAACCAGGGUAAUGGCAUAAUGAGAUUUGUAUUUUAUAAAAAUCUCUAUAGUUGCCAAGUAGAAAAUAGGUUGAAGAGGGAAACCAUUUAGGACACUCUAAGCUUAUAGUAGAGAAAUGGAUAAGCUUAAAGGUAUAGAUGCCAUUUUAAAAAAAUAUUUGAAGGGAAAGAAUUUGAUUAGAUGGAAUAAAAAAGAGAAAAUCAUUUAACCUAAGCAAGCAACCUAGCACCCAAAUGUUGGUUU
Molecule: long non-coding RNA, 1653 nt
Filed under: Homo sapiens (human)
Lineage: Eukaryota; Metazoa; Chordata; Mammalia; Primates; Hominidae
Description: HSALNT0135899
Source: RNAcentral